GACGAACGCUGGCGGCGUGCUUAACACAUGCAAGUCGAACGGAGAGGCCCUGCUUGCAGGGUACUCGAGUGGCGAACGGGUGAGUAACACGUGGGUGAUCUGCCCUGCACUUCGGGAUAAGCCUGGGAAACUGGGUCUAAUACCGGAUAGGAGCCAUUUUUAGUGUGAUGGUUGGAAAGUUUUUUCGGUGUAGGAUGAGCUCGCGGCCUAUCAGCUUGUUGGUGGGGUAAUGGCCUACCAAGGCGGCGACGGGUAGCCGGCCUGAGAGGGUGGACGCCCAACUGAGGACUAUGGUAGGGCCCAGCCCCUACUAGGGGGCAGCGGGGGGAAAAAUGAUGAAGUGGGGCCAAGCGUAUGCAAGAGGCCCUCGGGGGGGAAAGUAGGCUCAGGGGGGGGAAAGGGCUUUCAGUUAGGACAAAGGUUUUUUGACGGUACCCGAAGAAAAAGCACCGGCUAACUCAGUG
Molecule: ribosomal RNA, 464 nt
Filed under: uncultured bacterium
Lineage: Bacteria
Description: partial 16S ribosomal RNA
Rfam family: Bacterial small subunit ribosomal RNA
Source: RNAcentral